This 399-nucleotide ribosomal RNA is filed under the name uncultured bacterium. RNAcentral describes it as "bacterial SSU rRNA". It matches the Rfam family "Bacterial small subunit ribosomal RNA", at positions 29 to 419 of the family's 1533-position model. The record is from RNAcentral.
AACGAACGCUGGCGGCGCGCCUAAUACAUGCAAGUCGAGCGAGAAGACGUAGCAAUACGUUUGUAAAGCGGCGAACGGGUGAGGAAUACAUGGGUAACCUACCCUCGAGUGGGGAAGUAACUAGCCGAAGGUUAGCUAUACCGCGUACGCUCCUUGGACUUCGGUUCAGGAGGAAAGCGAUACCGUGGGUAUCGCGCUCUUGGAUGGGCUCAUGUCCUAUCAGCUUGUUGGUGAGGUAACGGCUCACCAAGGCUUCGACGGGUAGCUGGUCUGAGAGGACGGAUCAGCCACACUGGCACUGCGACACGGGCCAGACUCCUACGGGAGGCAGCAGUAAGGAAUAUUGCGCAAUGGGCGAAAGCCUGACGCAGCGACGCCGCGUGGGGGAGUGAAGGGUAC